RNAcentral lists this transfer RNA (86 nucleotides) under Bacillota bacterium. RNAcentral describes it as "Firmicutes bacterium (sediment metagenome) tRNA-Leu". It matches the Rfam family "tRNA". Rfam says of the family: Transfer RNA (tRNA) molecules are approximately 80 nucleotides in length. Their secondary structure includes four short double-helical elements and three loops (D, anti-codon, and T loops). The record is from RNAcentral. Lineage: Bacteria; Bacillati; Bacillota.
GCGGCAGUGGCGGAACGGCAGACGCGCUAGAUUCAGGAUCUAGUGGGGAGAUCCCCGUGGAGGUUCAAAUCCUCUCUGCCGCACCA